CUUGCUCCCAUAUAUGAGGUCCAGCCUGCCCAGUGACAUUGUUCAACGGCCGCGGUAUCCUAACCGUGCGAAGGUAGCGUAAUCACUUGUUCUUUAAAUAAGGACUAGUAUGAAAGGCGCCACGAGAGUCAUACUGUCUCCUUUCUCUAAUCAGUGAAACUGAUCUCCCCGUGAAGAAGCGGGGAUAAAAAUAUAAGACGAGAAGACCCUAUGGAGCUUAAAACAAAUAACACUUGCCCCCCAACUUCUAAUUUCAGAAAAAUUUUCUACCCGAGCAUUAUGGUUAUUAGUUUUCGGUUGGGGUGACCGCGGAGUAAAAAGCAACCCCCGCAAUGAAAGACACUCAUCCACUUAGUUAAGGGCUACAACCCUACACAUCAACAAAUUGACACUAAUUGACCCAACAUGUUGAUCAAUGAAC
RNAcentral lists this ribosomal RNA (421 nucleotides) under Adenomera marmorata group sp. ABGD cluster 30. RNAcentral's name for it is "partial large subunit ribosomal RNA". It matches the Rfam family "Bacterial large subunit ribosomal RNA", at positions 1834 to 2457 of the family's 2925-position model. The record is from RNAcentral. Lineage: Eukaryota; Metazoa; Chordata; Amphibia; Anura; Leptodactylidae.